RNAcentral lists this ribosomal RNA (497 nucleotides) under uncultured bacterium. RNAcentral describes it as "partial 16S ribosomal RNA". It matches the Rfam family "Bacterial small subunit ribosomal RNA", at positions 28 to 507 of the family's 1533-position model. The record is from RNAcentral.
GAUGAACGCUGGCGGCGUGCCUAAUACAUGCAAGUCGAGCGAACGGACGAGAAGCUUGCUUCUCUGAUGUUAGCGGCGGACGGGUGAGUAACACGUGGAUAACCUACCUAUAAGACUGGGAUAACUUCGGGAAACCGGAGCUAAUACCGGAUAAUAUUUUGAACCGCAUGGUUCAAAAGUGAAAGACGGUCUUGCUGUCACUUAUAGAUGGAUCCGCGCUGCAUUAGCUAGUUGGUAAGGUAACGGCUUACCAAGGCAACGAUGCAUAGCCGACCUGAGAGGGUGAACCGCCACACUGGAACUGAGAGACGGUCCAGACUCCUACGGGAGGCAGCAGUAGGGAAUCGUCCGCGAUGGGCGAAAGCCUGACGGAGCAACGCCGCGUGAGUGAUGAAGGUCUUCGGAUCGUAAAACUCUGUUAGUAGGGAAGAACAUAUGUGUAAGUAACUAUGCACAUCUUGACGGUACCUAAUCAGAAAGCCACGGCUAACUACGUG